Molecule: ribosomal RNA, 403 nt
Filed under: bacterium
Lineage: Bacteria
Description: partial 16S ribosomal RNA
Rfam family: Bacterial small subunit ribosomal RNA
Source: RNAcentral
UGGGGAAUAUUGCACAAUGGAGGGAACUCUGAAGCAGCGACGCCGCGUGAACGAAGAAGGCUUUCGAGUCGUAAAGUUCUUUUAUAUGGGAAGAUAAUGACGGUACCAUAAGAAGAAGCCCCGGCUAACUACGUGCCAGCAGCCGCGGUAAUACGUAGGGGGCUAGCGUUGUCCGGAAUCACUGGGCGUAAAGGGUUCGCAGGCGGAAAUGCAAGUCAGGUGUAAAAGGCAGUAGCUUAACUACUGUAAGCAUUUGAAACUGCAUAUCUUGAGAAGAGUAGAGGUAAGUGGAAUUUUUAGUGUAGCGGUGAAAUGCGUAGAUAUUAAAAAGAAUACCGGUGGCGAAGGCGACUUACUGGGCUCAUUCUGACGCUGAGGAACGAAAGCGUGGGUAGCAAACAGG